GCUUAUUUAGUAUAAAUAGUACUUCCGCCUUCCAAGCGGGUAGACAGAAACAGUCUGAAUAAGUA
Molecule: transfer RNA, 65 nt
Filed under: Donax trunculus (truncated wedgeshell)
Lineage: Eukaryota; Metazoa; Mollusca; Bivalvia; Cardiida; Donacidae
Description: tRNA-Gly
Source: RNAcentral